AAUAUUGCACAAUGGGGGAAACCCUGAUGCAGCGACGCCGCGUGAGCGAAUAAGGCCNNNGGGUCNUAAAUCUCUUGCCUAAGNGAANAAACGGACGGUACCUUAGGAGGAAGCCCCGCCUACCUCCGCCCCUGCAGCCGCGGUAAUAGGUAGGGGGCUAGCGUUAUCCGGAAGUAUUGGGCGUAAAGGGGGCGUAGGCGGCCUUUUAAGUAAGAUGUAAAAGGCUACGGCUUAACCGUAGUUAGCAUUUGAAACUAAAAGGCUUGAGUGCAGGAGAGGAGAGUGGAAUUCCUAGUGUAGCGGUGAAAUGCGUAGAUAUUAGGAGGAACACCAGUGGCGAAGGCGACUCUCUGGACUGAAACUGACGCUGAGGCACGAAAGCGUGGGGAGCGAACAG
This 397-nucleotide ribosomal RNA is filed under the name uncultured bacterium. Its description in RNAcentral is "partial 16S ribosomal RNA". It matches the Rfam family "Bacterial small subunit ribosomal RNA", at positions 360 to 775 of the family's 1533-position model. The record is from RNAcentral.